AACUAACGCUGGCGGCGCGUCUUAAACAUGCAAGUCGAACGGUAGUCCUUGAGCUUGCUUAGGGAUGAGAGUGGCGAACGGGUGAGUAACACGUGGAUAAUCUGCCUCCGGGUUGGGAUAACUGUCCGAAAGGAUAGCUAAUACCGAAUGAGAUGGCGGUUACAUAAGUAGCAGCCAUUAAAAGGUGGGGACCGCAAGGCCUACUGCCUGGAGAUGAGUCCGCGGCUGAUUAGCUAGUUGGUGGGGUAACGGCCUACCAAGGCGACGAUCAGUAGCCGGCCUGAGAGGGUGAACGGCCACAUUGGGACUGAGAUACGGCCCAGACUCCUACGGGAGGCAGCAGUUAAGAAUCUUGCACAAUGGGCGCAAGCCUGAUGCAGCGACGCCGCGUGAAUGAUGAA
This 401-nucleotide ribosomal RNA is filed under the name uncultured bacterium. RNAcentral describes it as "bacterial SSU rRNA". It matches the Rfam family "Bacterial small subunit ribosomal RNA", at positions 29 to 412 of the family's 1533-position model. The record is from RNAcentral.